UGGCGAACGGGUGAGUAACGCGUGAGGAACCUGCCUCAAAGAGGGGGACAACAGUUGGAAACGACUGCUAAUACCGCAUAAGCCCACGGCUCGGCAUCGAGCAGAGGGAAAAGGAACAAUCCGCUUUGAGAUGGCCCCGCGUCCGAUUAGCUAGUUGGUGAGGUAACGGCCCACCAAGGCGACGAUCGGUAGCCGGACUGAGAGGUUGAACGGCCACAUUGGGACUGAGACACGGCCCAG
RNAcentral lists this ribosomal RNA (240 nucleotides) under uncultured bacterium. Its description in RNAcentral is "partial 16S ribosomal RNA". It matches the Rfam family "Bacterial small subunit ribosomal RNA", at positions 96 to 334 of the family's 1533-position model. The record is from RNAcentral.